ACACAGAGCAGUAUCUGCUUCGCCGAUGCGGGCACUGCAUUCUAUCAGCGAGCUUGCAAAAGAGGAGGAAGCAGGUGAAGAGUAAACUGAGAUUGGAUAUAAUCAAUCGAACAUGUAACCAUUCUAUGCAUAUAAAUCAAUAAU
This 144-nucleotide non-coding RNA is filed under the name Skeletonema marinoi. Lineage: Eukaryota; Bacillariophyta; Thalassiosirophyceae; Thalassiosirales; Thalassiosiraceae. The record is from RNAcentral.